ACCUCUACUUGGUCCUUUGACUAAGAUUGGGUGUAGUAUCUGUUCUUAUCAGUUUUACUAUCUGAUACGCACCCUCUCUGGGUCCCAUUUAUUAAAGGGGAAUUUUAGAAUUUAGAGAUAGAAGAAAAGCUUUCUCUUUCCACUACAUGUCUUGACCUAGAAUUGCAGUACUUCCAGGACCGGUACACAAAGC
This is a small nuclear RNA of Pseudophryne corroboree (corroboree frog), 193 nucleotides long. RefSeq annotates it as U2 spliceosomal RNA. NCBI's taxonomy places the organism in Eukaryota, Metazoa, Chordata, Amphibia, Anura, Myobatrachidae. The transcript has a single exon. The record is from RefSeq and is a predicted model, not a curated record.